AGAAUCAACGCUGGCGGCGUGCCUAACACAUGCAAGUCGCACGAGAAAGGGGAGCAAUCCCUGAGUAAAGUGGCGCACGGGUGAGUAACACGUGAAUCAUCUACCUCCGAGUGGGGAAUAACCUAGAGAAAUCUGGGCUAAUACCGCAUAACACUUACGAGUCAAAGCAGUAAUGCGCUUGGAGAGGAGUUCGCGGCAGAUUAGCUAGUUGGCGGGGUAAUGGCCCACCAAGGCGAUGAUCUGUAUCCGGCCUGAGAGGGCGCACGGACACACUGGAACUGAAACACGGUCCAGACUCCUACGGGAGGCAGCAGUGGGGAAUUUUGCGCAAUGGGGGAAACCCUGACGCAGCAACGCCGCGUGGAGGAUGACGCCCCUUGGGGUGUAAACUCCUUUCGAUCGGGAAGAUGAUGACGGUACCGAUAUAAGAAGCCCCGGCUAACUUCGCGCCAGCAGCCGC
This 460-nucleotide ribosomal RNA is filed under the name uncultured bacterium. Its description in RNAcentral is "SSU rRNA". It matches the Rfam family "Bacterial small subunit ribosomal RNA", at positions 26 to 518 of the family's 1533-position model. The record is from RNAcentral.